GACGAACGCUGGCGGCGUGCCUAACACAUGCAAGUCGAACGGAAAGGCACUGCUAUCGUGGGGUGAUCGGGUGGCGAAGGGGUGAGUAACACGAGUGCAACCUGCUCUAGUUUUUGGGAUAACUUAAGGAAACUGGGGCUAAUCCCGUACAGGAGCCCACCCUGCAUGGUGGGGGGUGGAACGUUUCGGCGGUCGGGGAUGGACUGGCGGCUUAUCAGUUAGUUGGUGGGGUAGUGGCAUACCAAGGCAGUGGAGGGUAGCCGGCCUGAGAGGGUGACCGGCCACAUUGGGACUGAGGUACGGCCCAGACUCCUACGGUAGGCAGCAGUGGGGAAUAUUGCACAAUGGUCGGAAGCCGGAUGCAGCAACGCCGCGGUCGUGAUGACGGCCUUCGGGUUGUAAACCGCUUUCGCCUGUGACGAAGCGUUAGUGACGGUAAUGGGUAAAGAAGCACCGGCUAACUACGUG
RNAcentral lists this ribosomal RNA (468 nucleotides) under uncultured bacterium. Its description in RNAcentral is "partial 16S ribosomal RNA". It matches the Rfam family "Bacterial small subunit ribosomal RNA", at positions 28 to 507 of the family's 1533-position model. The record is from RNAcentral.